UGGCACGAAGUUUGAAAACUCCGGGUUCC
This 29-nucleotide non-coding RNA is filed under the name Mus musculus (house mouse). Lineage: Eukaryota; Metazoa; Chordata; Mammalia; Rodentia; Muridae. The record is from RNAcentral.